GACGAACGCUGGCGGCGUGCUUAACACAUGCAAGUCGAACGGAAAGGCCCCGCUUUUGUGGGGCGCUCGAGUGGCGAACGGGUGAGAAACACGUGAGUAACCCGCCCCUGACUUUGGGAUAACUGCAGGAAACUGGGGCUAAUACUGGAUAGGAGCUCCUGCUGCAUGGUGGGGGUUGGAUAGUUUCGGCGGUUGGGGAUGGACUCGCGGCUUAUCAGUUUGUUGGUGGGGUAGUGGCUUACCAAGGCUUUGACGGGUAGCCGGCCUGAGAGGGUGACCGGCCACAUUGGGACUGAGAUACGGCCCAGACUCCUACGGGAGGCAGCAGUGGGGAAUAUUGCACAAUGGGCGGAAGCCUGAUGCAGCAACGCCGCGUGCGGGAUGACGGCCUUCGGGUUGUAAACCGCUUUCAGCUGGGACGAAGCUUGUGUGACGGUAAUGGGUAGAGGAGCACCGGCUAACUACGUG
This 468-nucleotide ribosomal RNA is filed under the name uncultured bacterium. RNAcentral describes it as "partial 16S ribosomal RNA". It matches the Rfam family "Bacterial small subunit ribosomal RNA", at positions 28 to 507 of the family's 1533-position model. The record is from RNAcentral.